Molecule: ribosomal RNA, 36 nt
Filed under: Eucalyptus extrica
Lineage: Eukaryota; Viridiplantae; Streptophyta; Magnoliopsida; Myrtales; Myrtaceae
Also listed under: 1 other name
Description: partial 18S ribosomal RNA
Source: RNAcentral
CAUUGUAGAAUCCUGCCCAGCAGAAUGACCAAAGAA